RNAcentral lists this ribosomal RNA (468 nucleotides) under uncultured bacterium. RNAcentral's name for it is "partial 16S ribosomal RNA". It matches the Rfam family "Bacterial small subunit ribosomal RNA", at positions 28 to 507 of the family's 1533-position model. The record is from RNAcentral.
GACGAACGCUGGCGGCGUGCUUAACACAUGCAAGUCGAACGGAAAGGCCCUGCUUUUGUGGGGUUCUCGAGUGGCGAACGGGUGAGUAACACGUGAGUAACCUGCCCUUGACUUUGGGAUAACUUCAGGAAACUGGGGCUAAUACCGUAUAGGAGCUCCUGCUGCAUGGUGGGGGUUGGAAAGUUUCGGCUGUUGGGGAUGGACUCGCGGCUUAUCAGCUUGUUGGUUGGGUAGUGGCUUACCAAGGCUUUGACGGGUAGCCGGCCUGAGAGGGUGACCGGCGACCUUGGGACUGAGAUACGGCCCAGACUCCUACGGGAGGCAGCAGUGGGGAAUAUUGCACAAUGGGCGGACGCCUGAUGCAGAAACGCUGCGUGCGGGAUGACGGCCUUCGGGUUGUAAACCGCUUUCGCCUGUGACGACGCGUGAGUGACGGUAAUGGGUAAAGAAGCACCGGCUAACUACGUG